Molecule: ribosomal RNA, 301 nt
Filed under: uncultured bacterium
Lineage: Bacteria
Description: partial 16S ribosomal RNA
Rfam family: Archaeal small subunit ribosomal RNA
Source: RNAcentral
CAGCAGCCACGGUAAUACCAGCACCUCGAGUGGUCAGGAGGUUUAUUGGGCCUAAAGCAUCCGUAGCCGGUUGCAUAAGUUUUCGGUUAAAUCUAUGCGCUUAACGUAUAGGCCGCCGAAAAUACUGUGCAGCUAGGGAGUGGGAGAGGUACACGGUACUCGAUAGGAAGGGGUAAAAUCCUUUGAUCUAUUGAUGACCACCUGUGGCGAAGGCGGUGUACCAGAACACGUUCGACGGUGAGGGAUGAAAGCUGGGGGAGCAAACCGGAUUAGAUACCCCAGUAGUCCCUGUCUCUUAUAC